Molecule: non-coding RNA, 138 nt
Organism: Pseudonaja textilis
Lineage: Eukaryota; Metazoa; Chordata; Lepidosauria; Squamata; Elapidae
Source: RefSeq, a predicted model, not a curated record
AGUCAGAGGUGAGAUUCGCUGCCCAGUUGCUUGGUGGGUGUGGCCAUGGUGGGCGUGGACUACCAGAACUCCCAGGAGGGCCGUUUUUUUUACCUUCCCAAGGAUCCAGAGGUUUCCCUCAGGCCUCUGGGAGGGUGA